UAUUUAUUUAUUUUAAUAUAGUCAGUCGUGAACUGAGGUGGGCUGGUCUGAGGCUUGAAACUCCAGAGCUGAAAAGGUGUCCCACUCCGGCCCUGGUUCUAAACCUCUUAGCAUUUUUACACCACAGAAGAGCAAUACCACCUCGGGGAAGCCCAGCCGAUCCUCUCCAGCCAACUUCCACCAUCAUGCAUUAUUGGAAGGCCAGGAUGCUGUGUCUGUGGAAGGUGUUUUGAUGUUCGCUACUGGGCUGUCUUCACUUCCCCCAUCUGGCUUGGAACCACCGCCAAAAAUACAGUUCCUGGAUAACUCUGCAUUGCCAAUGGCAAAUACAUGUGCAAACACCUUGAAAUUACCACUGCUUAACUCAUACAAUUUGUUUAAGUCACAAAUGGACUUUGGAAUUCAAAAUAGUCCAGGAUUUGGCUGUUUUUAAGCUAAAUGAUGGAAGACCCUAGAGUUAAGACUGAAUGUUGUUUUAAUGUUCACUUUAAAGUGCAGUUGCAAAAAUAGUCUUUUAUAAAGUAAAAGUAGGUGAGGAAAAUUUUCUCAUGUCAAUUUAUGGAAAAUGUUCUAGAUUUGUGACUCCUAAACUGGAAUACCUUUAUAAAGCACAGAAGGAAAAAAGAUUAAAAAAAAAAAGUAGUUCAAGAAGUUUUGUUUCAUAUACUACAGAAAAUUAAUAAAUUAUUGUUACUA
Danio rerio (zebrafish) is the source of this 696-nucleotide non-coding RNA. NCBI's taxonomy places the organism in Eukaryota, Metazoa, Chordata, Actinopteri, Cypriniformes, Danionidae. The record is from RefSeq and is a predicted model, not a curated record.